This 45-nucleotide non-coding RNA is filed under the name Echinostoma caproni. The record is from RNAcentral. Lineage: Eukaryota; Metazoa; Platyhelminthes; Trematoda; Plagiorchiida; Echinostomatidae.
GCACUACCGACGAGUCCUGAACAGGACGAAACAGCUGUCCAGUGA